GUUAGGAAUAUUCGUCAAUGGGGGAAACCCUGAACGAGCAAUGCCGCGUGAGCGAUGAAGGUCCUCUGGAUUGUAAAGCUCUGUUGUAAAGGAAGAAACCUUACCAUAGGGAAUGAUGGUAAGCUGACGGUACUUUACCAGAAAGCCCCGGCUAACUACGUGCCAGCAGCCGCGGUAAUACGUAGGGGGCGAGCGUUAUCCGGAUUUAUUGGGCGUAAAGGGUGCGUAGGCGGUUUGUUAAGUUUGAGAUUAAAGCCCGAGGCUUAACCUCGGUUCGUUUCAAAAACUGGCAGACUUGAGUGUAGUAGAGGCAAGUGGAAUUUCUAGUGUAGCGGUUAAAUGCGUAGAUAUUAGAAGGAACACCAGUGGCGAAGGCGGCUUGCUGGGCUAUCACUGACGCUGAUGCACGAAAGCGUGGGGAGCAAAUAGGAUUAGAAACCCUAGUAGUCC
RNAcentral lists this ribosomal RNA (450 nucleotides) under uncultured bacterium. RNAcentral describes it as "bacterial SSU rRNA". It matches the Rfam family "Bacterial small subunit ribosomal RNA", at positions 354 to 796 of the family's 1533-position model. The record is from RNAcentral.